This 253-nucleotide ribosomal RNA is filed under the name uncultured bacterium. Its description in RNAcentral is "partial 16S ribosomal RNA". It matches the Rfam family "Bacterial small subunit ribosomal RNA", at positions 524 to 776 of the family's 1533-position model. The record is from RNAcentral.
UACGGGGGGGGCAAGCGUUGUUCGGAAUUACUGGGCGUAAAGGGCUCGUAGGCGGCCAACUAAGUCGGAUGUGAAAUCCCCAGGCUCAACCUUUGAACGCCGAUGGAUACUGCCGGGCUAGAGUCCGGAAGAGGCGAGUGGAAUUCCUGGUGUAGCGGUGGAAUGCGCAGAUAUCAGGAGGAACACCAAUAGCGAAGGCAGCUCGCUGGGACGGUACUGACGCUGAGGCGCGAAAGCGUGGGGAGCGAACAGG